CAAUAUAACGAUGAGUUAAUUACAUAGAUAUUACUCACAAGUCCAAACUCCGGUAAAUCAUUGGAAUUAACAGCAGUUACAAGUAAUGUCUUCUCCCGUAUAUAUUUAUUACCAUUUAGAUUAAUCCAUUUAACAGACACUGCAUUGCCAAUGUCAUCAGUUCCAAGGAAAGCCCUUGUCUUUUCUUUCAAAUACGACAAGUUGCGUUUUUCUGAAGUUGGUCCCAACCCACACUCGCUUACAAAAAUUGGGUGUUCAGAAUACAUACAUUUGAUUAUGCCUUAUUAAGGACUUGCAAACGUUGCAAAUCUCAUGCACAUGUGACGGACCAUUGGUCCCAGGAGUUUUAUCUGCGAUGGAGCAUGAAUCAAAUAAUGCAUUUUUGGGAUAAUGUUGUUAUCAGGGAAAAUACUUUUCAUAUGUUUUAAAUGCUGUUCAAUUAGUCUUUUCAACUUGCUAAUUGUCUGUAGACCAAUGACAGGAGCAAACAACAUUUUAACAAUUUCUAUGAGUUCAAGAAUUAUUUUGAAGUACUCAGUAUCUUUAGCUGUAUUAAUAAAAAAAAUGGCAAAAUCUUCAGUAAAACUAUCAAUAAAAAAUGGCAGUAGAACUAUCAUUUGGCCUGGGGAUUGCUUCAAUUUAUUAUCACUUGAAGCUAAUGUGCUGUAAGCUAUAGGGCUUGGUUUGUCUCAGACAUCAAGUGGAGAGUAGGGAAAUCCAGUUAAUGCAGUAUUGAGAACAUCCAAGUCUAAAAGAACUAACUGUUUUAACACACACUUUAUUUCUAAUGGAGCAAUGCCUUCAAGAAUUAUAUGCAUCAAAUCCCGAGGUGUUUGUUCAAUCAAGUUAAAGCCCGGAAAUUCUAUCAGCUUGCUUCUUCUGUUAAUGCCAAAUGUAGUCUUUAAACUGUUUCUAAGAUACUCAGUAUUUGCCUUCUCAAUUUCACUACACUGUCGAACAUGUUUUUCUAGUGUCCUUAGCUCAAAAUUGUCUUCGUCAAAAUACAUUUGCAUGUCCUCAAACGAACAUUCACACUGCCGGCACUUACUAUAGGCGAAACCAACACCCUCUUUAAAUCCACAAAGCUCAUGUUGUGCCAAGGUGUCUCCACAUAUCGAAACCAAUGCUCCAAAUAUUUCACGUUCCCCAUUUGCAGUUUGUUUCCUAAUGUAUAAUAAAACAUUAGUAACUUGGAAGCAUGAGAUCCAAGUGGAUUGCAGAUUUCAAUUUCGUCUGAGUAAAUUAUCUGUAAAGCAGAGGGCCGGGCUGAAAAUAAAGGAUGUGAUUUCAUGAGCUCUCCAUCUAUGAUGUCAUACAGAUAACCACCACUUCUGUAUUUUUGCGGCUGAUCUAUCAUUUCUAAAACUUUUGGAUGGGACAAUAACUGUUCUAUACUUUUAAUCAGAGGUACGUACAGAAAACAUUUGGUUCUUGUGGAGAGGACCCUUUUUGUCCCUUUUUUCUUCAAGCAUGCAGUAUACCCAACAGAAACCUCCUGACUCCACAAAAUUGAAAUUUUCCUUAAUCACGUUGUCCUGCCUCUAUGUUGUUGCAACAGAGGAAAAUGGAUCCUCAAUCCGGUCGAAUAAUGCCAUCGCUUCCUUUUCAAGUUCACUUCCUUGAUGUUGCUGGAAUACAGUUUGUAGCUGACUCCUCAGAUUAGUCACCAACAGGGCUUGAUAUUGUUGCAAAGACAUCCUUCACACCUCUCUGAAAAACAGUCAAGAAAGAAGAGCAAAUUAAACCCAAACAGUCCAGUUUUAAAAUUGUUUAGCACAAAAUCUUUUAUAAAUAAUACAAAUAUUAAUAAGGGCAACAUCAACACAAUGAUGCUUUUCAGCGAACGGCAUUAUUAAAAGUAAAUUCAAAAUAUGCAAUUAUCCUAACUAGAUAGCAGAGAGCAAAUACAAGGCAUUAUUAAAAAUGAAACCUCAUGGAGAUACAAGUUAGGUUGCAGCUAAGGGAGACUAAUUAGGUAACUGUAAACUGACUUGGAUUUGACAUGCAGAUAAUCAACAGAGCCACAGAUGAAAUGAAUGUAAUGUUGUAUGUAGACAAACCUGGUGAGAGUGUUACGCCUUUAAAGAUCCUUAAAAAAAAAGGGGGGAAAAAGAACGUAUAAUAAAACACACUGUUGCCACACACACUGAUGUGCAGUGAUAAAAUAGCAUUUUAUGACAAUCCAGUUGAGAUUUCUUUUUGAAAUGGUGAGACAUAAACAAAAAGAUUGAUAAUAAAGCUUAGCUGUGUACUGAAGGAAACAACAGACUUACCUCUGACUGACAUGCAGAAGAGUCUACAGCAGGACAUGACCCAACAGUCAUUACAUCUUGCACCCUGUUUUCCACCACUGCUUCAUCCGUUUGAUGCUCUCUGAUUUGCACCGUCGCAUCAGCUGGCCUGUCUGUCCACGCAUUCACCGCUGAAGAGGCUUCCGGGCUUGCUGUUGACCUCUCUCAGUGAGUUGCUACUGCCACUUUCAAGGUGUUCGUAGUGGUGUCUCGAUUUGACCCCUCACUACAAAAAAGCAAUGGGUGAGUGGAAGUCAUUCAGUGAGCGUAACACUUUGUCUAUCACUUUGUCCAUCACCUGUUGUAACACUUUCAAAGAAAGUUGAUGUUCUGUUUAAAAAAAAUCACAGUUAGACACAUUUGUUGGUGAGAUUGAAAACCUUUCCUGUGGGAUAAUAUGCUGCAAAGCAGCUGCAACAUGGUGUUUAUUGCUGUAGUAUGCUGCUACAAUAACAGAUUAUUUUUUUUGAUAGUGAGGUUCAAAACUGGCUUUUCAAUCUGUUAUGAUAGCUCUGGAAUGUGGAAGUUGUCCUUCUUUGGAUGUUGAGUUGAGCAAUUGUAUUGCAAAGUUAAUAAAAUUGUUUUAAUGAGAAUGUUUUGGUGUCUUGAUUUAAGACAAUAUCACUUAUAUUUGUUAUGCUGUUUUAAGAAAUUAUGUCUCUUUUGAACUACUUUUAUGCUCAUUAUCAAUCCCAGAUUAAGGUGUCAGUUCUAAAAUUUAAAUUAGUAACAAGACUUAAAUUCUCAUUUUAAGUAACUUAAUCUUAAAUUACUGCUUUUUUUCAUUGCUUGUUUUAGAAGAAUUCGGGUUAAUUUAAGAUUUUCUGUCUAGUUUAAUGUCAUUUUAGUCUUUCAGAGCUAAGAAUUUUGGUCUUAUUUUAAGAAAUCUUGUCAAGCAGAAAAAGCUUACCCCAUUGGCAUUUUGCUUGAUAUAGGAUAAUUUGAUUGAAUAUAAGAAUUUUUUGCUGCUUUUUAGAAGGGCAGUUUUUG
This is a long non-coding RNA of Gasterosteus aculeatus aculeatus (three-spined stickleback), 3281 nucleotides long. NCBI's taxonomy places the organism in Eukaryota, Metazoa, Chordata, Actinopteri, Perciformes, Gasterosteidae. The record is from Ensembl.